UUCUGUUCUCAGGUGACAUCCUUGGGCCAAUCAGUUGUUGCCAAGUUGCACAAUGACAUGCUCCAAGAUAUGGUGAUCUAUUCUAAAGGGGCUACUUGUAACUGAUUUUCUUUAGAAGAUAGUUAUCACUUUUAAUUUAAAAAGAGUAACAUCUCAUUAUCAUCAUAGCUCAUUCUGCAAGAAUGUAGAGAAUGGAUUAGAUGAGGUAUAACUCAAAGGACAUACAUUCUAUCACCAGACUGUAAGAGAAAUGAUGAAGACUAGAAGUAAUUCAAUGGCAAUGAGGAUGGAGAAAGGAGAAUGGAUUGAUUUGAGAGCUCUAAAGGAACUGAAGCUGUGAGACAGGGAGAAAAUCUGAAAAUCAGGAGGAUGAAGAGAAUGGCUAUAGAGCACCAGAACAGUCUGGGACUAGUUCCUCAGGAGGCACUACAGCUCUCAGUGGCUUCACCUGCUCAUCUGGACCUUUUCAAUGCCAGGUGAACUGAUGCAACACGCACAAGGGACACUCAGCAAGAGACCAGAACAUGAAAGUUUUAAGAUUGAUCUAAGUAGUAUGUUGAAACUAUGGAAUGUCACCACAUCUGUGCCAAGCUGAUUAAUAGUCAGACUACCUCCAAGAGGCAAUUGACUAAUGUUGAACAUCAUUCACAACACGUGCUUCUAAGUCACCACGUUAGCAUGUGCUCCUCAGUACACAUUUUUCCUGAUAUGAGGGAGACAUGGUAGGGUCAGUGAGGUCUCUCCUGAGUACCUGGAAUCUGUGGGGCUGAGUUACCAACCACUCCACAUUUGUACUUAUGGGCUUAGGAUACCAACUACUUUUUGGCAGGGCAAAGGAGCCAACUCAUUCCCAUGGCAGAGAAUUCAGAUUCUGCUGCAUUCCUCUCAUUCUGCUCACUUGUAUUGGGUAUCCAUUAUAUAGUAGUCACUGAACUUGGUAACAGGGCUACAGAGGUGAGAGAGAAAAGUCGUCACUCUCAAUGAGCAGGUAUAUUGUGACCACAAUUUUAGAAGUAUCCAAGUUGAAAGUAGCUUUGGAAAAUAUCAUUUUCUCAUUUAUUAUUUUAUAUAAAGUACUGUCGUGCACAUUUGCUUAUUUAAUAACUAUUAUCCCAUAAAGGAGACACU
Long non-coding RNA from Canis lupus familiaris (dog), 1128 nucleotides. RefSeq lists it as uncharacterized. Lineage: Eukaryota; Metazoa; Chordata; Mammalia; Carnivora; Canidae. The record is from RefSeq and is a predicted model, not a curated record. The transcript has 3 exons.